Molecule: ribosomal RNA, 258 nt
Filed under: uncultured bacterium
Lineage: Bacteria
Description: partial 16S ribosomal RNA
Rfam family: Bacterial small subunit ribosomal RNA
Source: RNAcentral
GAUCCUGGCUCAGGAUGAACGCUAGCUACGGGCUUAACACAUGCAAGUCGAGGGGCAUCAGUUUGGUUUGCUUGCAAACCAAAGCUGGCGACCGGCGCACGGGUGAGUAACACGUAUCCAACCUACCUCAUACUCGGGGAUAGCCUUUCGAAAGAAAGAUUAAUAUCCGAUAGCAUAUAUUUCCCGCAUGGGUUUUAUAUUAAAGAAAUUCGGUAUGAGAUGGGGAUGCGUUCCAUUAGUUUGUUGGGGGGGUAACGG